This 253-nucleotide ribosomal RNA is filed under the name uncultured bacterium. Its description in RNAcentral is "partial 16S ribosomal RNA". It matches the Rfam family "Bacterial small subunit ribosomal RNA", at positions 524 to 776 of the family's 1533-position model. The record is from RNAcentral.
UACGGGGGGGGCAAGCGUUGUUCGGAAUUACUGGGCGUAAAGGGCUCGUAGGCGGCCAACUAAGUCAGACGUGAAAUCCCUCGGCUUAACCGGGGAACUGCGUCUGAUACUGGAUGGCUUGAGUUCGGGAGAGGGAUGCGGAAUUCCAGGUGUAGCGGUGAAAUGCGUAGAUAUCUGGAGGAACACCGGUGGCGAAGGCGGCAUCCUGGACCGACACUGACGCUGAUGAGCGAAAGCCAGGGGAGCAAACGGG